UCCCGUUCAUCACCGACGACCUGGAGAUCGAGUGCGAGGGGAAGGAGAAGUUCAAGUGCGGAUCCAACGUCUUCUGGAAAUGGUGAAGCUGGUCGAUCUGCCAGGCAAUAUGGCGAGUGCUGAUGUAUGUCAGCGCACCGCGUGUACCUAGAUGUCCAAACUGCGCAAGUGUUUCAACUGUGAAGUUAUCGUCGCUGUAAUUUUAUCAUCAUCAAGUGGAAUUCUGUUUUCACCUGGAUAUGGAUAUAUGCAUGUUAGCAUGUAUCUUGUCACAUCCAGAACGCGAACAUUCAUCAGUUAGAAUCUUUCAAGCGAACUGCUUAGGCAAUUUCGAGAUCAGUUGGGAAAACACACGCAAAAAAAAGUAAAUGAUACCAAGCUGAUUCUAACUCUAAGCAAAGAUGCAAACCAA
RNAcentral lists this long non-coding RNA (412 nucleotides) under Triticum aestivum (bread wheat). RNAcentral's name for it is "long non-coding RNA (TAES_LNC020180)". Lineage: Eukaryota; Viridiplantae; Streptophyta; Magnoliopsida; Poales; Poaceae. The record is from RNAcentral.